Molecule: ribosomal RNA, 253 nt
Filed under: uncultured bacterium
Lineage: Bacteria
Description: partial 16S ribosomal RNA
Rfam family: Bacterial small subunit ribosomal RNA
Source: RNAcentral
GACAGAGGGUGCAAACGUUGCCCGGAAUCACUGGGCGUAAAGGGCGUGUAGGCGGGCAGGAAAGUCAGAUGUGAAAUCCCUGGGCUCAACCCAGGAACUGCAUUUGAAACUCCCUUUCUUGAGUACCGGAGAGGAAGGUGGAAUACCUGGUGUAGAGGUGAAAUUCGUAGAUAUCAGGUGGAACACCAGUGGCGAAGGCGGCCUUCUGGACGGUAACUGACGCUGAGACGCGAAAGCGUGGGGAGCAAACAGG